RNAcentral lists this unclassified non-coding RNA (378 nucleotides) under plant metagenome. Its description in RNAcentral is "partial contains 5.8S ribosomal RNA, internal transcribed spacer 2, and large subunit ribosomal RNA". The stretch from base 1 to 105 matches the Rfam family "5.8S ribosomal RNA", at positions 50 to 154 of the family's 154-position model. The record is from RNAcentral.
GAAAUGCAAUAAGUAAUGUGAAUUGCAGAAUUCAGUGAAUCAUCGAAUCUUUGAACGCACCUUGCGCUCCUUGGUAUUCCUUGGAGCAUGCCUGUUUGAGUAUCAUGAAAUCUUCAAAGUAAAUCUUUUGUUAACUCAAUUGGUUUCUACUUUGGUAUUGGAGGUCUUUGCAGCUUCACACCUGCUCCUCUUUGUUCAUUAGCUGGAUCUCAGUGUUAUGCUUGGUUCCACUCGGCGUGAUAAGUUAUCUAUCGCUGAGGACACUGUAAAAGGUGGCCAAGGUAAAUGCAGAUGAACCGCUUCUAAUAGUCCAUUGACUUGGACAAUACUUUUAUGAUCUGAUCUCAAAUCAGGUAGGACUACCCGCUGAACUUAAGC